GCAUAUCAAUAAGCGGAGGAAAAGAAAAUAACAAUGAUUCCCCUAGUAACUGCGAGUGAAGAGGGACAAGCUCAAAUUUUAAAUCUAUCGGGUUUUACCCGAUCGAGUUGUAAUUUGAAGAAGCGUUUUCUGCGUUUUUGGUCAGCCCAAGUCCUAUUGAAUGAGGCAUCAUGGAGGGUGAUAAUCCCGUCCGGUUGAUCAUUUGCGUUUUACGAUACGCUUUCUAAGAGUCAAGUUGUUUGGGAUUGCAGCUUAAAAUGGGAGGUAAAUUUCUCCUAAGGCUAAAUAACGGCGAGAGACCGAUAGCGAACAAGUACCGUGAGGGAAAGAUGAAAAGAACUUUGAAAAGAGAGUUAAACAGUACGUGAAAUUGUUGAAAGGGAAACGAUUGAAGCCAGUCGUACCUUCGGGUAAUCAGCCUUUCGGGUGCGAUUCUGUGGAGUGUGAUGAGCUUAACACCUUCAUGCUUUGCGUAUUUGUGCUCUUGGGUGUACUUGCCCGUGUGGUUGGUUAACAUCAAUUUUGGUUAUCAUAAAAUGACUGGAGGAAUGUAGCUUCGAUCUCGUAUUGAAGUGUUUAUAGCCUUCGGUAGAUGUGAUGAACGAGAUUGAGGAUUGCAACGGAUAUCCUUCGGGGCUACCUGUCUGGUCUCUGAUCGUUGCUCUGGUGCUGAAAGCUUGCUUACAGUUAUCAAAGUUGAUGGUCAAUAGGUUAGAACGGGUUAAAUUCGUUAAGGAUGUUGACGUAAUGGCUUUAAACGACCCGUCUUGAAACACGGACCAAGGAGUCUAACAUAUAUGCGAGUGUUAGGGUGAUUAAACCCUUACGCGUAAUGAAAGUAAUUUUGGUGGGAACACUUUUGUGCACCAUCGACCGAUCAGGAUAUUUUUUGAUAGAUUUGAGUAAGAGCA
Molecule: ribosomal RNA, 911 nt
Filed under: Rhizophagus irregularis
Lineage: Eukaryota; Fungi; Glomeromycota; Glomeromycetes; Glomerales; Glomeraceae
Description: eukaryotic LSU rRNA
Rfam family: Eukaryotic large subunit ribosomal RNA
Source: RNAcentral